UGGGGAAUAUUGCACAAUGGGGGAAACCCUGAUGCAGCAACGCCGCGUGCGGGAUGACGGCCUUCGGGUUGUAAACCGCUUUCAGCCAUGACGAAGCUUUUGUGACGGUAGUGGCAGAAGAAGCACCGGCUAACUACGUGCCAGCAGCCGCGGUGAUACGUAGGGUGCGAACGUUGUCCGGAAUUAUUGGGCGUAAAGAGCUUGUAGGCGGUUUGUCGCGUCGAAAGUGUAAACUCAGUGCUUAACGCUGAGCCUGCUUUCGAUACGGGCUGACUAGAGGAAGGUAGGGGAGAAUGGAAUUCCCGGUGGAGCGGUGGAAUGCGCAGAUAUCGGGAGGAACACCAGUGGCGAAGGCGGUUCUCUGGACCUUUCCUGACGCUGAGAAGCGAAAGCGUGGGUAGCAAACAGG
This 409-nucleotide ribosomal RNA is filed under the name bacterium. RNAcentral's name for it is "partial 16S ribosomal RNA". It matches the Rfam family "Bacterial small subunit ribosomal RNA", at positions 355 to 776 of the family's 1533-position model. The record is from RNAcentral.